Molecule: ribosomal RNA, 253 nt
Filed under: uncultured bacterium
Lineage: Bacteria
Description: partial 16S ribosomal RNA
Rfam family: Bacterial small subunit ribosomal RNA
Source: RNAcentral
UACGUAGGCAGCAAGCGUUGUUCGGAGUUACUGGGCGUAAAGAGUGCGUAGGCGGUGCUUUAAGUUUGGUGUGAAAUCUCCCGGCUUAACUGGGAGGGUGCGCCGAAAACUGGAGUGCUUGAGUAUGGGAGAGGCAAGCGGAAUUCCUGGUGUAGCGGUGAAAUGCGUAGAUAUCAUUUGGAACGCCAAUGGUGAAAACAGGUAGCUGGGGCUGUACUGACACUGAGACGCGAAAGCGUGGGGAGCGAACAGG